RNAcentral lists this ribosomal RNA (461 nucleotides) under uncultured bacterium. RNAcentral's name for it is "partial 16S ribosomal RNA". It matches the Rfam family "Bacterial small subunit ribosomal RNA", at positions 338 to 795 of the family's 1533-position model. The record is from RNAcentral.
CCUACGGGAGGCAGCAGUGAGGAAUAUUGGUCAAUGGGCUUACGCCUGAACCAGCCAAGUCGCGUGAGGGAAGACUGCCCUAUGGGUUGUAAACCUCUUUUGUCAGGGAGCAACGCCGGCUACGUGUAGCUGGACUGAGAGUCCCUGAAGAAAAAGCAUCGGCUAACUCCGUGCCAGCAGCCACGGUAAUACGGAGGAGGCGAGCGUUAUCCGGUUUUAUUGGGUUUAAAGGGUGCGUAGGCGGAAUGCAAAGUCAGCGGUAAAAUCGCGGGGCUCAACCCGCGGACGGCACAUGAUACUGGUAGACUAGAGUGAGGGAGAGGGAACCGGAAUUCGAGGUGUAGCAGUGAAAUGCGUAGAUAUCGAGAGGAACACUCGUGGCGAAGGCGGGUUCCUGGACAUUAACUGACGCUGAGGCACGAAGGCCAGGGGAGCGAAAGGGAUUAGAUACCCGAGUAGUC